GGGGGGGGCGGGGGGCGGGCUGGGGGCGUGCAGGGCGGAGGGCAGGGGCCGGCUUGUGUGGGGUGGUCGAGUGGCGAACGGGUGUGGAACACGUGAGUAACCUGCCCUUGACUUUGGGAUAACUUCGGGAAACUGGGGCUAAUACCGGAUCGGAGCUCCUGCUGCAUGGUGGGUGUUGGAAAGUUUCGGCGGUUGGGGAUGGACUCGCGGCUUAUCAGCUUGUUGGUGGGGUAGUGGCUUACCAAGGCUUUGACGGGUAGCCGGCCUGAGAGGGUGACCGGCCCCAUUGGGACUGAGAUACGGCCCAGACUACUCCGCGAGGCAGCAGUCGCGACUAGGGAAGAAGGGGCAGAAGGCGGAUGAAGCAACGGCGCGUGGGGGAUGACGCCAUUCGGGUAGCAAAACGCUUCAGCCUGUAACGAAGCGUGAGGGACGGUAAUGGGGAAAGAAGAACAGGCUAAUUACGU
RNAcentral lists this ribosomal RNA (467 nucleotides) under uncultured bacterium. RNAcentral's name for it is "partial 16S ribosomal RNA". It matches the Rfam family "Bacterial small subunit ribosomal RNA", at positions 39 to 506 of the family's 1533-position model. The record is from RNAcentral.